This 393-nucleotide ribosomal RNA is filed under the name uncultured bacterium. RNAcentral describes it as "bacterial SSU rRNA". It matches the Rfam family "Bacterial small subunit ribosomal RNA", at positions 505 to 898 of the family's 1533-position model. The record is from RNAcentral.
GUGCCAGCCGCCGCGGUAAUACGUAGGGGGCAAGCGUUGUCCGGAAUUAUUGGGCGUAAAGCGCGCGCAGGCGGUCUUUUAAGUCUGGUGUAUAAGUGCGGGGCUCAACCCCGUGAGGCACUGGAAACUGGGAGACUUGAGUGCAGAAGAGGAGAGCGGAAUUCCACGUGUAGCGGUGAAAUGCGUAGAGAUGUGGAGGAACACCAGUGGCGAAGGCGGCUCUCUGGACUGUAACUGACGCUGAGGCGCGAAAGCGUGGGGAGCAAACAGGAUUAGAUACCCUGGUAGUCCACGCCGUAAACGAUGAGUGCUAGGUGUUGGGGGGAUCGCCCCCUCGGUGCCGAAGUUAACACAUUAAGCACUCCGCCUGGGGAGUACGGUCGCAAGACUGAA